GACGAACGCUGGCGGCGUGCUUAACACAUGCAAGUCGAACGGAAAGGCCGUGCGUUUGUGGGGUGCUGGGGUGGCGAAGGCGGGAGGAAGACGAGAGUAACGUGACCUUGACUUUCGGAGAACUUCAGGAAACUGGGGCUAAUACCGUAUAGCAUCUCCUGCUCCGUGGGGGGGGGGGGAAAGUGGCGGCGGGUGGGGAUGGACUGGCGGCUUAUCGGCUGGCUGGUGGGGUAGUGGCAGACCAAGGCUUUGACGGGUAGCCGGCCUGAGAGGGUGACCGGCCACAUUGCGACUAAGGGACGGCCCAGUCGCCUACGGGAGGCAGCAGUGGCGAGUAUGACCCAACGGCCGGGAGCCGGUGGCGGCAACGCCGCGUGCGGGAUGACGGCCUCCGGGGAGUGAACCGCUUUCGCCUGUGACGAAGCGUGAGUGACGGUAAUGGGUAAAGAAGCACCGGCUAACUACGUG
This 468-nucleotide ribosomal RNA is filed under the name uncultured bacterium. Its description in RNAcentral is "partial 16S ribosomal RNA". It matches the Rfam family "Bacterial small subunit ribosomal RNA", at positions 28 to 507 of the family's 1533-position model. The record is from RNAcentral.